This 468-nucleotide ribosomal RNA is filed under the name uncultured bacterium. Its description in RNAcentral is "partial 16S ribosomal RNA". It matches the Rfam family "Bacterial small subunit ribosomal RNA", at positions 28 to 507 of the family's 1533-position model. The record is from RNAcentral.
GACGAACGCUGGCGGCGUGCUUAACACAUGCAAGUCGAACGGAAAGGCCCUGCUUUUGUGGGGUGCUCGAGUGGCGAACGGGUGAGUAACACGUGAGUAACCUGCCCUUGACUUUGGGAUAACUUCAGGAAACUGGGGCUAAUACCGGAUAGGAUCUCCUGCUGCAUGGUGGGGGUUGGAAAGUUUCGGCGGUUGGGGAUGGACUCGCGGCUUAUCAGCUUGUUGGUGGGGUAGUGGCUUACCAAGGCUUUGACGGGUAGCCGGCCUGAGAGGGGGACCGGGCACCUUGGGCCUGAGAUACGGACCAGACUGCUACGGGAGGCAGCAGUGGAGAACAUGACACAAUGGGCGGAAGCCUGAUGCGGCAGCGCCGCGUGCGGGAUGACGGCCUUCGGGUUGUAAACCGCUUUCGCCUGUGACGAGGAGUGAGUGACGGUAAUGGGUAAAGAAGCACCGGCUAACUACGUG